CUAUUAUUAUCCUGCUGUCAUUCUGGGUUGUGAGUAAACCACAGCUUUUAUUGACUGCAAGAUGAUUUAUCGGAACUGAAUAAAAUAAGAAAGCGAGAUACAUCACAAACACACUGCAAUAAGCUUGUUGAUUGAUGGAUUUGUUAUCUUCAGCAAAUCACAAGAGUUUAACUGAUUUUUUUCUUUUUAUAAACUGAUUCUUUGGUAAUGCAUGUAACUUCAAAUAUACUUAGUAGGGUCAGAUUAAUUAAGAUAAUUGAACUGAGUGUGUUGCUGGUAGUCCGUGGGCAGAAGAAUUCUUGCUUGCCACAACCUGGGUCUGCUGUAUUUCUAUCUAUCCCUAUUUAGCCUUAUCUGUGACCAGACAUAAGUUAUAAACCUUCUGGUAGCUAAUUAUUUAUGUCUUGACUGACCUAUAUCAGCAAUCUCUUAGUCAAAGUUGAUGACAACUGAUCAACAAAGAUAAAUGUAAUAUUUCAGGAUCAAACUUUACGCUCAGUUUCUGUUAGCUAUUGUACUUCAGUAUUUUAGUUUUAGGAACUGGUGAAGGUAACAUGGCAGGAGAGGGUAGGAAAGAUCUUCAGGAAAGCCAAGGAAGCGAUGAAUGGAUUAGCCCAAAGAAGGUAGUAAGCAGAUGGAAUUUGGUGCCUCCUCAGACAGAUGAAGAUGGCAGAUGCUUGCACAAUGACCCGAUCCCUGGUGUUGGGAUAAGGGGAAGAAGCAGUCUAGUUUUAGGAAUAGAGAAGUCACUUAACCUCUCUCUGCCUCAGUCUCCACAUGUCAAAGGAUGUAUUGACACUUACUUCUCUCACAAAGCUAUUCUGAAACGUUAUUAAUGAUAAUAAGCCAUUUUGAGAUGAAAAGUAUUGAUAUUAUUAAAACAAAUACAGCAGUGAUAAGGCAAAAAACAUUCUUACAGACCAGUCAGACCAUUUAUAGGAAAAUGCUCCAAAAAUAGACAUUACUAAUAAUGCAUUUAGGCUGCACUGGUGUGAGUGAGAGCUACAAAUGCUAGGUAUCAUGCAAUGUAUUGUCAAAUCCAUAUUUUUAAAUAGCCA
This 1058-nucleotide long non-coding RNA is filed under the name Chrysemys picta bellii (western painted turtle). RNAcentral's name for it is "lncRNA (ENSCPBG00000019738.1)". Lineage: Eukaryota; Metazoa; Chordata; Testudines; Emydidae. The record is from RNAcentral.